RNA transcript from Armigeres subalbatus, 1355 nucleotides. RefSeq lists it as uncharacterized. The transcript is spliced from 3 exons. The record is from RefSeq and is a predicted model, not a curated record. NCBI's taxonomy places the organism in Eukaryota, Metazoa, Arthropoda, Insecta, Diptera, Culicidae.
GUCAGAUGCAGCAACCGUUGAACACAUGGCAGAUUGUUGAAACUGUCUGCUUGAAAUAUUCAGCAUAUUCCGUUGUUUCAGUGCCGAAGAGGAGUCCUUUGUGUCCGUUCCUGCAUGGUACUGUUUCCAGAGGCAACGGCGACAGGGCACUGUCAAUCUGACUCAUUUGGUCCGUUCUCUACUAGACGAAUGCUUAUUUGCUGUCUGUCUGCUUACUAUAGUUAGCAAGUUGAGCGAAAUUUGAAAGUGAACUCAUCUCAGAUCCAUGGCAUUGAAUUCAGAUUGGUUCCAUCCCUUUCACAAAGACUGCACGGUACAGGAUACCAACAUAGCGAAAUCUCAAGGAUACACAUCAUUCCUCCAUUCAGCCACCGAAAAAGGAUGCGGGAAAAGAGGUAUCCGACAUUCAAAUCGAUGAUUACGUAUUCAAUUAAGGUUUCGUUGGUUGCCAUAAUGAGCCAAAAUUGAGUUGUAAUUAAUGUCGUUAAUUAUAAAUGAACCGUUUCAAGUGAAGUUUAGGUACUUUUUAAGAGUCUUUAAUUUGAAAUAAUCCGAUGAACUUCUUUUCAGCCUACGUUGAAGGACGUAAGACACACAUUUAGAGCAAUUAUUCCUUCCAGCAUUCAAAUCAAGAAUCGAAACUUAAAUUUAUGCAAACCAAUUCGAUUGAUGAUAACAUGGGGUUGUGCUACAUCAAGAGGAACUGGUUUGACAUAAAUAUAAUUCGCAUCAAUUAUUUCGGAUUGAUCCCAUUGAUAGAAUAAGUAAGUCAUACAGUUUCUCUUCUAUUCCUAGCGAGGAAUAUCCACAGCGGUGUACGUACUGUCCGGCCGACAGCAGCCCCGUUCAAUGUCCGCCAGACUGUUUCUGUAAGCGACCGGAAGACACAACUGAUCGAGUUUAGAUCAACGACAAGAGGUUAUUUCGAAACGAAGUUAAUCAAAAGUCUGUUUAUCUGUGAACCACUGUAUUCUAUCAAACAGUAAAUAGUGGCUACGUUUUAACUUGUAUUUGAUUAACUAACAGUAGAAGCAAUGUAGCAAAUCUAGCAUUCAUUUGACAAAUGUUGAAUUUGAUGUAAUUUGUAAAUGAACAUAAAUCUUUGAAGUCUAGUAUUAGUUAAUAAGGCUUUAUGGCAAUUGUAACGCGCUUGAGCAAAGCAAAUAAAUUAUUCCACAAGCUCAUCUUAUCUUCAUCGUAAUUGUUCGCUCCGAUUCCGCUUUUCAAAUCUAAUUGACACCAUAGCUAAAUGUAAGUUACCGAGCAUAUCGUUAUAUGCAUAAUCAUAACAUAACUGUAACUAAAUAAACUGAAUAAAAAGAUUACUCUUAACUAAUAUAAUAUAGAGUACAGCA